GGGGAAUAUUGGACAAUGGGCGCAAGCCUGAUCCAGCAAUGCCGCGUGGAUGAAGAAGGUCUUCGGAUUGUAAAGUCCUUUCGACGGGGACGAUGAUGACGGUACCCGUAGAAGAAGCCCCGGCUAACUUCGUGCCAGCAGCCGCGGUAAUACGAAGGGGGCUAGCGUUGCUCGGAAUUACUGGGCGUAAAGGGCGCGUAGGCGGCCGACCAAGUCAGGCGUGAAAUUCCCGGGCUCAACCUGGGGGCUGCGCUUGAGACUGGUUGGCUAGAGGCCGAGAGAGGGUGGUGGAAUUCCCAGUGUAGAGGUGAAAUUCGUAGAUAUUGGGAAGAACACCGGUGGCGAAGGCGGCCACCUGGCUCGGUACUGACGCUGAGGCGCGACAGCGUGGGGAGCAAAC
RNAcentral lists this ribosomal RNA (400 nucleotides) under uncultured bacterium. Its description in RNAcentral is "bacterial SSU rRNA". It matches the Rfam family "Bacterial small subunit ribosomal RNA", at positions 356 to 773 of the family's 1533-position model. The record is from RNAcentral.